This 519-nucleotide ribosomal RNA is filed under the name Escherichia coli. RNAcentral describes it as "bacterial LSU rRNA". It matches the Rfam family "Bacterial large subunit ribosomal RNA", at positions 1 to 522 of the family's 2925-position model. Lineage: Bacteria; Pseudomonadati; Pseudomonadota; Gammaproteobacteria; Enterobacterales; Enterobacteriaceae. The record is from RNAcentral.
AUAAGGUUAAGUUAAUAAGGGCGCACGGUGGAUGCCUUGGCACUAGAAGCCGAAGAAGGACGUGACAAACGACGAAAUGCUUUGGGGAGCUGUAAGUAAGCGCUGAUCCAGAGAUGUCCGAAUGGGGGAACCCACUAACUAAUGGUUAGUAUCCAUAACUGUUAAGGUUAUGAGAAGGAAGACGCAGUGAACUGAAACAUCUAAGUAGCUGCAGGAAGAGAAAGCAAACGCGAUUGCCUUAGUAGCGGCGAGCGAAACGGCAGGAGGGCAAACCGAAGUGUUUACACUUCGGGGUUGUAGGACUGCGACGUGGGACUUUAAAAGGAUAGAAGAAUUACCUGGGAAGGUAAGCCAAAGAGAGUAAAAGCCUCGUAUUUAAAAUUCUUUUGAGCCCUAGCAGUAUCCUGAGUACGGCGAGACACGUGAAAUCUCGUUGGAAUCUGGGAGGACCAUCUCCCAACCCUAAAUACUCUCUAGUGACCGAUAGUGAACCAGUACCGUGAGGGAAAGGUGAAAAGC